ACAGGUGCUGCAUUGGCUGUCGUCAGCUCGUGUCGUGAGAUGUUCGGUUAAGUCCGCUAACGAGCGCAACCCUCGCUGUGUGUUAUAUGUGUCACACGGGACUGCCGGUCUUAAGCCGGAGGAAGGUGGGGAUGAUGUCAAGUCAGCAUGGCCUUUAUAUCCUGGGCUACACACACGCUACAAUGGCCAACACAAUAGGUUGCUAAGCCGCGAGGUGGCGCCAAUCCAUAAAGUUGGUCUCAGUUCAGAUUGUAGGCUGCAACCCGCCUGCAUGAAGAUGGAGUUGCUAGUAACCGCAGGUCAGCUAUACUGCGGUGAAUACGUUCCCGGGGCUU
This 335-nucleotide ribosomal RNA is filed under the name uncultured Leptolinea sp. Its description in RNAcentral is "bacterial SSU rRNA". It matches the Rfam family "Bacterial small subunit ribosomal RNA", at positions 1034 to 1382 of the family's 1533-position model. The record is from RNAcentral. Lineage: Bacteria; Bacillati; Chloroflexota; Anaerolineae; Anaerolineales; Anaerolineaceae.